This 254-nucleotide ribosomal RNA is filed under the name uncultured bacterium. Its description in RNAcentral is "partial 16S ribosomal RNA". It matches the Rfam family "Bacterial small subunit ribosomal RNA", at positions 524 to 776 of the family's 1533-position model. The record is from RNAcentral.
UACGUAGGGUGCAAGCGUUAAUCGGAAUUACUGGGCGUAAAGCGUGCGCAGGCGGUUAUGCAAGACAGAUGUGAAAUCCCCAGGCUUAACCUGGGAACUGCAUCCGAUACUGGAUGGCUUGAAUCCGGGAGAGGGAUGCAGAAUUCCAGGUGUAGCGGUGAAAUGCGUAGAUAUCUGGAGGAAUACCGGUGGCGAAGGCGGCAUCCUGGACCGGCAUUGACGCUGAGGGAGCGAAAGCCAGGGGAGCAAACGGG